Molecule: long non-coding RNA, 716 nt
Filed under: Homo sapiens (human)
Lineage: Eukaryota; Metazoa; Chordata; Mammalia; Primates; Hominidae
Description: non-protein coding lnc-JMJD8-2:5
Source: RNAcentral
GCGGAACAAGGAUCCCAUCUUGCACGUGCUGCGGCAGUACCUGGAUCCGGCCCAGCGUGGCGUCCGCGUCCUCGAGGUGGCCUCGGGCUCCGGCCAGCACGCAGCGCACUUCGCGCGGGCCUUCCCCCUGGCCGAGUGGCAGCCGUCGGACGUGGACCAGCGCUGCCUGGACAGGUGCGGCCCCCGGGGCGGCCACUUCUAUCGGUGCGGCGGUCCGGGGCCUCAAGAGCCCACGGCCCGCAGCCCCGGAGGAAAAGGAUGCGGCUCGGGCUCUGAGGGUGCGGGGUGGGAGCCUGGGGGUGCCCCCGGGGCAGGCCCUAGCUGUGCGGCCCCCGCGGCUGCGGAAGUGGGUGGACCUCGGGGUCCCCCUUCCCAGCCGCUUUGGUCUCCGCUCCUCAACGUGCCCCCCAGCCUCCCCUAAGAAAUUCUGUGGGGGCGUCGGAAAGGCGGGUGCACAGGACUCGGCCCCCACCCAAGCGUUCGCCUCCUGCAGCAUCGCGGCCACCACGCAAGCCCAGGGCCUGACCAACGUGAAGGCCCCGCUACACCUGGACGUGACGUGGGGCUGGGAGCACUGGGGCGGGAUCCUGCCACAGUCGCUGGACCUGUUGCUCUGCAUCAACAUGGCCCAUGUCAGCCCCCUGCGCUGCACGGAGGGGCUCUUCAGAGCAGCAGGACACCUGCUCAAACCCAGGGCCCUGCUCAUCACCUACGGG